Molecule: transfer-messenger RNA, 372 nt
Filed under: Candidatus Nanopelagicaceae
Lineage: Bacteria; Bacillati; Actinomycetota; Actinomycetes; Candidatus Nanopelagicales
Also listed under: 1 other name
Description: Planktophila sp009700025 Standard tmRNA
Rfam family: transfer-messenger RNA
About the family: Bacterial tmRNA, also known as 10Sa RNA or SsrA, is named for its dual tRNA and mRNA-like properties. Its role is to liberate the mRNA from a stalled ribosome.
Source: RNAcentral
GGGGGUGAACGGUCUCGACUUUGGAUGUUGAGGCAGGGGAAGCGGGCCGAGGAAGCCGGAAUGAUCUCGUAAACCAAUAAUCCGUGCAAAAAAUAACUGCUGACACAAAUCAGCAAGCUUUCGAACUAGCUGCAUAAGCAAGUAUCGAAGCCGUUAGCCCAGAUGCCGCUCUCGAUCUGGAAUCUAGCGUCGACAGAGAGCUCUUCAUCGCGUUGGUGUUGCGAACAACGUGAGAGAACAGUUUCGCAAAUGAGUUCGUCGAAGAGUCGUGUGGAAAAACUUCGGGACUGAGAAAGCGUUAAUCACACUACGCCCGUAGAAGCCCUGUUUUUGCACCGAAGGACCCGGGUUCGAUUCCCGGCACCUCCACAA